Molecule: ribosomal RNA, 253 nt
Filed under: uncultured bacterium
Lineage: Bacteria
Description: partial 16S ribosomal RNA
Rfam family: Bacterial small subunit ribosomal RNA
Source: RNAcentral
GACGAACCGUACGAACGUUAUUCGGAAUCACUGGGCUUAAAGGGUGCGUAGGCUGCGCAGAAAGUUGGGUGUGAAAUCCCUCGGCUUAACCGAGGAACUGCGCCCAAAACUACUGUGCUCGAGGGAGACAGAGGUGAGCGGAACUUAGGGUGGAGCGGUGAAAUGCGUUGAUAUCCUAAGGAACACCGGUGGCGAAAGCGGCUCACUAGGUCUCUUCUGACGCUGAGGCACGAAAGCUAGGGGAGCGAACGGG